Molecule: transfer RNA, 73 nt
Filed under: Trichonephila inaurata madagascariensis
Lineage: Eukaryota; Metazoa; Arthropoda; Arachnida; Araneae; Nephilidae
Rfam family: tRNA
About the family: Transfer RNA (tRNA) molecules are approximately 80 nucleotides in length. Their secondary structure includes four short double-helical elements and three loops (D, anti-codon, and T loops). Further hydrogen bonds mediate the characteristic L-shaped molecular structure. tRNAs have two regions of fundamental functional importance: the anti-codon, which is responsible for specific mRNA codon recognition, and the 3' end, to which the tRNAs corresponding amino acid is attached (by aminoacyl-tRNA synthetases). tRNAs cope with the degeneracy of the genetic code in two manners: having more than one tRNA (with a specific anti-codon) for a particular amino acid; and 'wobble' base-pairing, i.e. permitting non-standard base-pairing at the 3rd anti-codon position.
Source: Rfam by way of RNAcentral
GUCUCUGUAGUACAAUGGAUACCAUGUUGGACUUCUAAUCCAAAGGUCGUGGGUACGAAUCCCACCUGGGAUG